Long non-coding RNA from Helianthus annuus (common sunflower), 378 nucleotides. RefSeq lists it as uncharacterized. The record is from RefSeq and is a predicted model, not a curated record. The transcript is spliced from 2 exons. NCBI's taxonomy places the organism in Eukaryota, Viridiplantae, Streptophyta, Magnoliopsida, Asterales, Asteraceae.
GAAGGCCUGGCCCGGCUCACAAAUGUAACGAAUACACACACAUGAUUUGUGUGUGACUCUCACAGUUAUCAAAACACUCGAAACAUAACACCAAACCCUAGCUCCCUCUCCUCUCAUUCGAACCCGACGGCAAUCCCUCUCUCCCUCUCGAAGAUCUUCUUGAUUCCAUCUUGCUCAUUUUGGUCGUUGUGUACUUUGAUGGAGCUUGCAUGGAGGAGUCGUUGUGGCAGGGAACCAUUGUUGGGUUCCUAUUAAACAUUAUGAACUUAAACUAUUAAUUGGGUUUUGAACUUUAUGCUUCCGCUGACACUUAAACUUGGUAUUUGGGUAUUUGUUUUCGUAAACACUAAUUGUAUUGAUUGUGAUGGAUUUUAUUUA